UACGGGGGGGCAAGCGUUGUUCGGCAUUACUGGGCGUAAAGGGUUCGUAGGUGGCCAACUAAGUCAUACGUGAAAUCCCUCAGCUUAACUGGGGAACUGCGUCUGAUACUGGUUGGCUUGAGUGCAGGAGAGGAACGCGGAAUUCCAGGUGUAGCGGUGAAAUGCGUAGAUAUCUGGAGGAACACCGGUGGCGAAGGCGGCAUUCUGGACUGUAACUGACACUGAGGAACGAAAGCCAGGGGAGCAAACGGG
RNAcentral lists this ribosomal RNA (252 nucleotides) under uncultured bacterium. Its description in RNAcentral is "partial 16S ribosomal RNA". It matches the Rfam family "Bacterial small subunit ribosomal RNA", at positions 524 to 776 of the family's 1533-position model. The record is from RNAcentral.